CCUANGGGGGGCAGCAGCAGGGAAUCUUGCGCAAUGGGCGAAAGCCUGACGCAGCGACGCCGCGUGGGGGAUGAAGGUCUUCGGAUUGUAAACCCCUUUUCUCGGGGAAGAAUAAUGACGGUACUCGAGGAAUAAGUCACGGCUAACUACGUGCCAGCAGCCGCGGUAAUACGUAGGUGGCUAACGUUAUCCGGAUUUACUGGGCGUAAAGAGGGCGCGGGCGGCACUUCAAGUCGGGUGUGAAAUAUCCUGACCCAAUCAGGAUACGCCAUUCGAUACUGAAGAGCUUGAGGGCAGUAGAGGGAGAUGGAAUUCCCGGUGUAGCGGUGAUAUGCGUAGAUAUCGGGAGGAACACCAGUGGCGAAGGCGGUCUCCUAGGCUGUUCCUGACGCUGAGGCCCGAAAGCGUGGGUAGCAAACCGGAUUAGAUACCCCUNUANUC
This 441-nucleotide ribosomal RNA is filed under the name uncultured bacterium. RNAcentral describes it as "bacterial SSU rRNA". It matches the Rfam family "Bacterial small subunit ribosomal RNA", at positions 338 to 795 of the family's 1533-position model. The record is from RNAcentral.